GGAAAGGACACAGGUUAAGCAAAGAAGGGAAAAAAGCAGACGGUAAAGCGAGGGAGAGUCCAUGUGUGAUUCGCCAUGACUCCUCCGAGGAUUAAUUAAAAGAUGAAAAAAGAUGUCACCCAUGGAUGUUCACGGAUUACCCGGCCGCACGUUAACCUCGUAAUGACAUCACAUCUCCGUCUUUUUAGUCUGGUUAUCAAGAGGAGGAUAAUUGGCAACCACUUUUUGUGCCUCACUGGUGAAAAGGUGCAGUGUAGAGUGUGCGGGGUGUGGCCAACCCACGAACAGAUUCCUUCACCAACAACCAAACAUCCACAAAGAGCGUGUUCAAGAGUCUUCAUGUGGCCCCUCACACUACAGGACACCUGACCCUAAAUAUUAAAAAUGUUAUAUAUUUACAAUUUUAACUCAGGAUGGCCACAAUGCUCUUCCGGGCAGAUCAGGGUGAGUUGAAUUACUUUUUGAC
Molecule: long non-coding RNA, 466 nt
Organism: Notolabrus celidotus (New Zealand spotty)
Lineage: Eukaryota; Metazoa; Chordata; Actinopteri; Labriformes; Labridae
Exons: 4
Source: RefSeq, a predicted model, not a curated record